Molecule: transfer RNA, 71 nt
Filed under: Clypeaster rarispinus
Lineage: Eukaryota; Metazoa; Echinodermata; Echinoidea; Clypeasteroida; Clypeasteridae
Description: tRNA-Thr
Source: RNAcentral
GCCUUGCAAGCACUACGUCGAGCAUCCAGUCUUGUAAAUUGGGAGGGAGGGUUAAAAUCCCUAGCAAGGCU